GAUGAACGCUGGCGGCGUGCCUAAUACACGCAAGUCGAGCGAACGGACGAGAAGCUUGCUUCUCUGAUGUUAGCGGCGGACGGGUGAGUAACACGUGGAUAACCUACCUAUAAGACUGGGAUAACUUCGGGAAACCGGAGCUAAUACCGGAUAAUAUUUUGAACCGCAUGGUUCAAAAGUGAAAGACGGUCUUGCUGUCACUUAUAGAUGGAUCCGCGCUGCAUUAGCUAGUUGGUAAGGUAACGGCUUACCAAGGCAACGAUGCAUAGCCGACCUGAGAGGGUGAUCGGCCACACUGGAACUGAGGCACGGUCCAGACUCCUACGGGAGGCAGCAGUAGGGAAUCUUCCGCAAUGGGCGAAAGCCUGACGGAGCAACGCCGCGUGAGUGAUGAAGGUCUUCGGAUCGUAAAACUCUGUUAUUAGGGAAGAACAUAUGUGUAAGUAACUGUGCACAUCUUGACGGUACCUAAUCAGAAAGCCACGGCUAACUACGUG
This 497-nucleotide ribosomal RNA is filed under the name uncultured bacterium. RNAcentral describes it as "partial 16S ribosomal RNA". It matches the Rfam family "Bacterial small subunit ribosomal RNA", at positions 28 to 507 of the family's 1533-position model. The record is from RNAcentral.